Aquila chrysaetos chrysaetos is the source of this 1486-nucleotide long non-coding RNA. RefSeq lists it as uncharacterized. NCBI's taxonomy places the organism in Eukaryota, Metazoa, Chordata, Aves, Accipitriformes, Accipitridae. The transcript has 3 exons. The record is from RefSeq and is a predicted model, not a curated record.
UGGUCUUAUAGGAUGGGUCAGAUAAUAGAAAAGAAAACGUGGAACUGUGACUGGUGUGUGCUGGACCUGGCUUGACCCUCUGUAGCCUAAACUCCAACUAUCUCCAGAAAAGGUCUUACAGAAACGGUAUUUUUUGCCGUGCUGCUGUGUGAGAAGGCUGGCCCUGAGCGCCAGGUGCGUGAGCAGCGAGUAGCUCCUUUGUCUCGGAUAAAAGAAACUAUCCUGAUUUACACCACUGCAGCAUCCGAGGCUUUGUUCAAAAGGGCCUCACAUAGAUUUCUGUCAGUGAUUAACCGUGUUAAGUUUCAGUGCCUCCAGAGGAAGAUCACAGCUGUCACCUCUGAAAUAAGACUUAGAAAAGCCGGCAUCUGAAUCCCGUCCUCAGAUCUAGACCUUAACCUUCAGUGGAGCCACUGAAAACACCGAUUCUACAUGCAAAAAUAGUACAGAAAUGUAUACACUUUAAAUACAUGUGGAGCAAGGAGACAAAUAGCAUGGGCUCUAGCUGUUCCACAACUGCAUCUCGCUUUCAGAAAAGCAUCGGUCACUGCAAGGAAAGAUUUGUAGCACAGGAUAUAACUCAUCAUGAGCAAAAGUGGGAAUCCGAGCCAUGACAUUUUAAUUUCAGACAUAUUCAAAGGUAGGAGAGUCACUCUGUUCUGACUGAACUUUAGAUAAGCACGCACUGUGCCAUGGUUUUGGUCUACUCACAACAUUCCUCAAAUUUUCACUGCAGUAGGAGGAAAAAGAGAAAGGGAGGAAAAAGAGAAAGAGAGAGCAAAAAAGAAAGAAAGAAAGGGGAAGAGAGAGAGAAAGAGUUUGGUUUACAGGAGGUGUUUUAUUGUGCCGAUACCCAAAGGCUGGAUUCAAUAAAACCUCCAUCUGGCUCUCACACAGAGCAACCUCCUCUAAGACCUCGCAGCAGCCCUCCUCACCUCCAGAGUCAAUUUUGGGAGGCUUGCGAGCGUUUGCAUGGGCUUCCCUCCUGCCACAGCAGGACAGGGCUUUUUACUGAGUCAGACCCAUAGAAAGCAUCUCUCUGUCUUACUUCUUACACUUAUUUUGGAGAUUGAGGGUGACUUCAAACCCAGAGGAUGUGCCAAGUGUGCUUUAAAAACUUGGCUUCAGAGAAUCAACCGUUCCCCACGUGCCAGAGUACAAAUAAAGCUAAAGUAGUUGCCGAAACACUGCGUGUAGAGUUUGCUGAGCGAGGUUCCCCGGCUUCGCUUAUAGAGGGGGCCAGACAAGCUGUUUAUGAGGGUCUCUUAUGGCCUUACUGUCUACAGAUACAUUUCCAUCCACCCAACCGAAACUUCAGUCAACAACUUUUUUUGUGGCUGAAUCAGAACAUAGAGUUAAAAAUGCUCAGAAAUACAUAAAGCUCUGUCCCACUGCCCUUAUUUUCUGAUCUAUCACAUACUCGGGUACCGGGACUAUAAGCACAAAAUAAGAGCCUGGAAAGACAGUGAGAUAAAUGAUACACACA